AAUCAACGCUGGCGGCGUGCCUAACACAUGCAAGUCGAACGAGAAAGUGGAGCAAUCCAUGAGUAAAGUGGCGACCGGGUGAGUAACACGUGACUAACCUACCCUACAGUGGGGGAUAACCUCGGGAAACCCGGGGCUAAUACCGCAUAACAUCGCAAGAUCAAAGAAGCAAUUCGCUGAAGGAGGGGGUCGCGGCUGAUUAGUUAGUUGGCGGGGUAACGGCCCACCAAGACGAAGAUCAGUAGCCGGCCUGAGAGGGCGCACGGCCAC
RNAcentral lists this ribosomal RNA (270 nucleotides) under uncultured bacterium. Its description in RNAcentral is "partial 16S ribosomal RNA". It matches the Rfam family "Bacterial small subunit ribosomal RNA", at positions 32 to 311 of the family's 1533-position model. The record is from RNAcentral.